AGUCGAACGCUGAAGCCUGGUGCUUGCACCGGGUGGAUGAGUGGCGAACGGGUGAGUAACACGUGAGUAACCUGCCCCUGACUUCGGGAUAAGCCCGGGAAACUGGGUCUAAUACCGGAUACGACUGCCGGACGCAUGUCUGGUGGUGGAAAGUUUUUUCGGUUGGGGAUGGGCUCGCGGCCUAUCAGUUUGUUGGUGAGGUAAUGGCUCACCAAGACGACGACGGGUAGCCGGCCUGAGAGGGCGACCGGCCACACUGGGACUGAGACACGGCCCAGACUCCUACGGGAGGCAGCAGUGGGGAAUAUUGCACAAUGGGGGAAACCCUGAUGCAGCGACGCAGCGUGCGGGAUGACGGCCUUCGGGUUGUAAACCGCUUUCAGCAGGGAAGAAGCGCAAGUGACGGUACCUGCAGAAGAAGUACCGGCUAACUACGUGCCAGCAGCCGCGGUAAUACGUAGGGUACGAGCGUUGUCCGGAAUUAUUGGGCGUAAAGAGCUCGUAGGUGGUUGGUCACGUCUGCUGUGGAAACGCAACGCUUAACGUUGCGCGUGCAGUGGGUACGGGCUGACUAGAGUGCAGUAGGGGAGUCUGGAAUUCCUGGUGUAGCGGUGAAAUGCGCAGAUAUCAGGAGGAAC
This 638-nucleotide ribosomal RNA is filed under the name Brevibacterium sp. RNAcentral describes it as "bacterial SSU rRNA". It matches the Rfam family "Bacterial small subunit ribosomal RNA", at positions 60 to 707 of the family's 1533-position model. Lineage: Bacteria; Bacillati; Actinomycetota; Actinomycetes; Micrococcales; Brevibacteriaceae. The record is from RNAcentral.